RNAcentral lists this long non-coding RNA (340 nucleotides) under Androctonus crassicauda. The record is from RNAcentral. Lineage: Eukaryota; Metazoa; Arthropoda; Arachnida; Scorpiones; Buthidae.
CUUCCACUGUCACCUAGAGUCACACAGCCCUUCCUUCACCAGUCACACCCAUGGAGUUAGUGCCUCCCUCCUCCAGCUGUAACCAUGGAUACCACACGUUUCCCAUCUUACCCGCCUUUACCCCAGGGACCUACAGCUUCACUCCCACUGUCCUCACCCUGACCAACAGCCAAGGAGACCACCCUCUCCUCUAACUGUCCUGAGAGUGACCCAACGCUCGGUUCUCCAGCUCUCACCAUGGAAACAGGCUGCUCCCUUCCGCGGGCGCCCCAGCUCCCUGCUCCUCUCCAAGCUCCGCCCCCAAGCGGCUUGGACCCAGCAGCUGUUGCCAUGGAGACUA